This 403-nucleotide ribosomal RNA is filed under the name Bacteroidota bacterium. RNAcentral's name for it is "Bacteroidetes bacterium partial 16S ribosomal RNA". It matches the Rfam family "Bacterial small subunit ribosomal RNA", at positions 355 to 776 of the family's 1533-position model. The record is from RNAcentral. Lineage: Bacteria; Pseudomonadati; Bacteroidota.
UGGGGAAUAUUGCACAAUGGGGGAAACCCUGAUGCGGCGACGCCGCGUGAACGAAGAAGGUAUUCGUAUCGUAAAGUUCUGUCCUAUGGGAAGAUAAUGACAGUACCAUAGAAGAAAGCUCCGGCUAAAUACGUGCCAGCAGCCGCGGUAAUACGUAGGUCCCGAGCGUUGUCCGGAUUUAUUGGGCGUAAAGCGAGCGCAGGCGGUUAGAUAAGUCUGAAGUUAAAGGCAGUGGCUCAACCAUUGUAGGCUUUGGAAACUGUUUAACUUGAGUGCAGAAGGGGAGAGUGGAAUUCCAUGUGUAGCGGUGAAAUGCGUAGAUAUAUGGAGGAACACCGGUGGCGAAAGCGGCUCUCUGGUCUGUAACUGACGCUGAGGCUCGAAAGCGUGGGGAGCGAACAGG